Molecule: non-coding RNA, 757 nt
Organism: Microcebus murinus (gray mouse lemur)
Lineage: Eukaryota; Metazoa; Chordata; Mammalia; Primates; Cheirogaleidae
Source: RefSeq, a predicted model, not a curated record
CAAUCCGGACAGUAUAAAACAGGACACCAGACCAUAACCAGAGCUUCUUGUUAUGACAGGGGUCCCAUUCACCAUCUGUGGUUGUGCUUUCACAAUCUUCAUUGCUUUGGUAGACCUGUGUCUGCCUAUGUUGAGAGCAGUUGUUCAAGAUGGAUGAGCAAUGAAUAUCAGUGUCGGAAGACAACAGAAACAUUAUACAGUCUGGAUUGUCAAUGAUCUGAAGUCAAGUGACUAUAACACAGAUUGAUGAAAGAUUCUGCAGGACGACAAAGGUUAAAGAUGCAGACCCGGAGCUAGAAGCCAGCACUGACACUGAUGGAGUGGACUGCGAUGAGAAUGCCCACAUUACUGUCCUAUCCUCUGAUAACCAAUGCAAUAUGAAAACUGACUACAGAAGAAAGGAACAAAUUAAAUCCAUUAAUCAAGCAUAUCUCUGCUAAACAGUUGUUCUAAAGUGAUGAACAAAUGAAAAAUUUACUGUUUGUUUUCAUGCUUGCAAGGAUUGGGGAAGAAAAUUAAUUAUAAGGUACUGGCCACACUAUUAGUUAAGUUUUUCUUGAGGAAACUAUUGCUUUGUCAAAGGACAAAUGAACCUCAUUAGGGAGAUUAGUUUCAGUUGGUAGUUUUGCAUUAGGACAAACUAAUAAUACACACUUCAAAAGACACCCUGAGUAAAAUUAUGAAAAUUGAAAUCCAUUUUUUACUUCUUAAUUUACUAACUGUUCAAAAAUGACCACUCUAUUACCUAUCAUGAAAC